CUUCUGAGAAUGUCUUGCCACUUGGUGUCUGUGGAAACAUGAAGUCUCUCUAACUUAUUUUCCCUGUUCUAAUUAUUGUUCAAGAACUGACAGCUGAGUGCAAAGCAUGGGCCCAUUCCAGCCAGGCAGGAUGCUCUCAGCAGCCACAAAGCCCAAAUUGAUGGCAAUGUGAAUUCAAAGUUCUC
RNAcentral lists this long non-coding RNA (185 nucleotides) under Gopherus agassizii (Agassiz's desert tortoise). Its description in RNAcentral is "lncRNA (ENSGAGG00000023851.1)". Lineage: Eukaryota; Metazoa; Chordata; Testudines; Testudinidae. The record is from RNAcentral.